RNAcentral lists this ribosomal RNA (489 nucleotides) under uncultured bacterium. Its description in RNAcentral is "partial 16S ribosomal RNA". It matches the Rfam family "Bacterial small subunit ribosomal RNA", at positions 28 to 507 of the family's 1533-position model. The record is from RNAcentral.
GACGAACGCUGGCGGCGUGCUUAACACAUGCAAGUCGAACGGAAAGGCCCCCACCUUGGUGGGGGUGCUCGAGUGGCGCACGGGUGAGUAACACGUGGGUGAUCUGCCCUGUACUUCGGGAUAAGCUUGGGAAACUGGGUCUAAUACCGGAUAGGACCAUGGUUUAGUGUCUCAUGGUGGAAAAAUUAUUGUUUUGGUGCAGGAUGAGCUCGCGGCCUAUCAGCUUGUUGGUGGGGUAAUGGCCUACCAAGGCGUCGACGGGUAGCCGGCCUGAGAGGGUGGACGGCCACAUUGGGACUGGGAUACGGCCCAGACUCCUACGGGAGGCAGCAGUGGGGAAUAUUGCACAAUGGGCGCAAGCCUGAUGCAGCGACGCCGCGUGGGGGAUGACGGCCGUCGGGUUGUAAACUCCUUUCGUUAGGGACGAAGCCACACCUUUUUUGGGUGUGGUGACGGUACCUUUGUGAAGAAGCACCGGCUAACUACGUG